Molecule: long non-coding RNA, 1436 nt
Filed under: Capra hircus (goat)
Lineage: Eukaryota; Metazoa; Chordata; Mammalia; Artiodactyla; Bovidae
Description: lncRNA (ENSCHIG00010004532.1)
Source: RNAcentral
ACAUAGCCCAAAGGUGACUUGAGAACUCUGUAGUGGGGUUGAUCACCAUGUGUAUCACAGGUCAGAAAGACUUCAUGAAGGAGAUGCAACUGAAGAUAAGCCUGAGAUUCAAUAGUAACUUCACAAGAGGAGGUGGGGUACUAUCUGCUAGGUAACAUAAGGGGUGUAUGGGUGUUUAGAAAUGUGACCAGCACUGUGCAUAGAACACACAAAUGUCCAACUGAGAGACCGAUAGGUUUCAGUGGUAUACCGGAUCAUCAAGAAAGUUAAAAUGGAUGUGACUGAUUAGGGAAGGGACCUAGCAGGCUCUUUUAUCUUGUGGAAAGGCUCUUAACAAACCUCUGAGGAACAUAACAUUACUUCAUAGAUAUGAGAAUGAGAUUUUGGAGGGCUAUGAUAACUUUAAAAUUCAGACAGCUAAGAAAUCAAAGAGCAAAAAUUGAAAUACAGAUCUCUUUGAUUCCAAAAUUUCAAUUUACUCUAAAUUAAUCUGAGCAAUAAGAAACUGGGAAAAUCUAGGGAAACACAUGAAAUACAUUUGAGAAGAAUCAAUAUGAUCAAUGAAAGGUGUUUGUCCUGCAGUUCUACUUCCUUUCUUGCUGUUACCCAUGGUCCAUUUAUUUGUCUUAUUAUAAAUAGUGCNNNNNNNNNNNNNNNNNNNNNNNNNNNNNNNNNNNNNNNNNNNNNNNNNNNNNNNNNNNNNNNNAGGGAAAUAGAAAGUUUUCUGGUAAUCAAGGUGGAUUAUAAACUGAGUAUAGAUUAAGUGGCUUUGGGGAUUUAGAAUAAUUACCAGAUAUAGAGAAAGGAGAGUAGAGACUUUCCUUGAAAGAUACCUAGAUCUGUACCAGAUGGGCAAGGAAAGGCUUCCCCCAAUCAAAGUUCCAGAGUACUCUGAAGCCUGGACCCAAAGGAGCAGAAAUACUCACCAAAGAUCAAGAAGAAAAACAGGGCCAUGUCCCAGAUGGCUGAAGACAGUGAACUGAAAUGUAAGGCUGGAAGGAGGCCCCACAACAGGAAUAUGCAGCUUUGGUUGCAAGUGUGCUGUGAGGAGGGAAGGAGGCAGGUCCUGUCUGUAGUAGAGGAUUUAUCAGACAACCAAAAAUCAAUGGGCUCAAAGGUCAGGACUGAUAGAGCUGGACUUGCUGAAUUCAGCAUGUCCCAGAGGAAGGGAGGUGGCCGGAAUUGGCAGAAAGAUGAUGAAAACAAAAGAAAACAAACAAACAAAACAAAAAACCCCAAGCUGCUGUGCUUUGGUUCUGCUGUAAUCCCAGCUCCAUCGAGCUCUGCUUUAGUCCCCUCACUAUGCAAACAAGGAAAACAAUGCACAUAAGGAAAGGCAAGCACCAAGAAUAAGGGCCAUUUCACAUUAGAAGGUCAAGCAAUACUUGAUCCUCAUGUAUGGUUUGUGGGGGUUAAUUAGCCAAUUUCAAUUCUUU